GAUGAAGAACGUAGCGAAAUGCGAUAAGUAAUGUGAAUUGCAGAAUUCAGUGAAUCAUCGAAUCUUUGAACGCACAUUGCGCCCGCCAGUAUUCUGGCGGGCAUGCCUGUUCGAGCGUCAUUUCAACCCUCAAGACCCCUUCGGGGGACUUGGUGUUGGGGACCGGCACAGGGGCCUGCCUGCUUGUCUUGCAGCGCCCUCGUCGCCCCCGAAAUGAAUUGGCGGCCUCGUCGCGGCCUCCCCUGCGUAGUAGCACAAACCUCGCAACGGGAACGUGACGGCGGCCACUGCCGUAAAACAACCCAAUUUUAUUAGAGUUGACCUCGAAUCAGGUAGGAAUACCCGCUGAACUUAAGCAUAUCAAUAAGCGGAGGA
This 375-nucleotide unclassified non-coding RNA is filed under the name soil metagenome. RNAcentral describes it as "partial contains 5.8S ribosomal RNA, internal transcribed spacer 2, and large subunit ribosomal RNA". The stretch from base 1 to 120 matches the Rfam family "5.8S ribosomal RNA", at positions 35 to 154 of the family's 154-position model. The record is from RNAcentral.